Molecule: ribosomal RNA, 307 nt
Filed under: uncultured bacterium
Lineage: Bacteria
Description: bacterial SSU rRNA
Rfam family: Bacterial small subunit ribosomal RNA
Source: RNAcentral
AGGGUUUGAUUAUGGCUCAGGAUGAACGCUGGCGGCGUGCCUAAUACAUGCAAGUCGAGCGAACCACUUCGGUGGUGAGCGGCGAACGGGUGAGUAACACGUAGGUGAUCUGCCCAUCAGACGGGGACAACGAUUGGAAACGAUCGCUAAUACCGGAUAGGACGAAAGUUUAAAGGUGCUUCUGGCACCGCUGAUGGAUGAGCCUGCGGCGCAUUAGCUAGUUGGUAGGGUAAAGGCCUACCAAGGCGACGAUGCGUAGCCGACCUGAGAGGGUGAACGGCCACACUGGGACUGAGACACGGCCCAG